Molecule: ribosomal RNA, 506 nt
Filed under: uncultured bacterium
Lineage: Bacteria
Description: partial 16S ribosomal RNA
Rfam family: Bacterial small subunit ribosomal RNA
Source: RNAcentral
AGUGAACGCUGGCGGUAGGCCUAACACAUGCAAGUCGAACGGCAGCACAGGAGAGCUUGCUCUCUGGGUGGCGAGUGGCGGACGGGUGAGGAAUACAUCGGAAUCUACUCUGUCGUGGGGGAUAACGUAGGGAAACUUACGCUAAUACCGCAUACGACCUACGGGUGAAAGCAGGGGACCUUCGGGCCUUGCGCGAUUGAAUGAGCCGAUGUCGGAUUAGCUAGUUGGCGGGGUAAAGGCCCACCAAGGCGACGAUCCGUAGCUGGUCUGGGAGGAGGAUCAGCCACACUGGAACGGAGACACGGUCCAGACUCCUACGGGAGGCAGCAGUGGGGAAUAUUGGACAAUGGGCGAAAGCCUGAUCCAGCCAUACCGCGUGGGUGAAGAAGGCCUUCGGGUUGUAAAGCCCUUUUGUUGGGAAAGAAAUCCAGCUGGCUAAUACCCGGUUGGGAUGACGGUACCCAAAGAAUAAGCACCGGCUAACUUCGUGCCAGCCGCCGCUGUAA